CACCGCGGUUAAACGAGAGGCCCUAGUUGAUAUUAUUACGGCGUAAAGGGUGGUUAAGGAAGGAAAUAAUAAUAAAGCCAAAUGGCCCUUUGGCCGUCAUACGCUUCUAGGUGUCCGAAGCCCAACCCCACGAAAGUAGCUUUAAUAAAACCCACCUGACCCCACGAAAGCUGAGAAACAAACUGGGAUUAGAUACCCCACUAUGCUCAGCCAUAAACCCAGACGUCGAACUACAAUUAGACGUCCGCCAGGGUACUACGAGCAUUAGCUUGAAACCCAAAGGACCUGACGGUGCCUUAGACCCCCCUAGAGGAGCCUGUUCUAGAACCGAUAACCCCCGUUAAACCUCACCACUUCUAGCCACCCCAGCCUAUAUACCGCCGUCGCCAGCUUACCCUGUGAAGGUAAUAAAAGUAAGCAAAAUGGGCACAACCCAGAACGUCAGGUCGAGGUGUAGCGCACGAAGCGGGAAGAAAUGGGCUACAUUUUCUAUCACAGAACACUACGGACAUGCAACAUGAAAUAGUGCUUGAAGGAGGAUUUAGUAGUAAAAAGGAAGCAGAGUGUCCUUUUGAACCCGGCUCUAAGGCGCGUACACACCGCCCGUCACUCUCCCCUGUCAACACGCAUUACAAGUACAUAAUAUUAAAGCACUGACAAGGGGAGGCAAGUCGUAACAUGGUAAGUGUACCGGAAGGUGCACUUGGAUUAAACCCAGGGUGUGGCUGAG
Molecule: ribosomal RNA, 730 nt
Filed under: Microphysogobio yunnanensis
Lineage: Eukaryota; Metazoa; Chordata; Actinopteri; Cypriniformes; Gobionidae
Description: partial small subunit ribosomal RNA
Rfam family: Bacterial small subunit ribosomal RNA
Source: RNAcentral